Molecule: non-coding RNA, 251 nt
Organism: Cinara cedri
Lineage: Eukaryota; Metazoa; Arthropoda; Insecta; Hemiptera; Aphididae
Source: the annotation of a GenBank genome assembly
UAGUUAUAAAUUAAUACAAGUUUCAAUUUUUAUUUACCGAAUUUCGUUUGAAAUAAUUUUUUUAAAGAUAUUACAACUAUAUUUAUAAUUACAUUAGGUAUAGUUGGAAUAAACAUAAAAUAAUUACUCUUGAAUUUCAUCACUCGAAUAUUUUAAUACAUGUGAAUUUUACUGUCAUUUGUUCAACGAGUAAGUAUAAGUAUUCUCUGGAAAUAAUAAUAACAUAUCGUUAUUUAUUAUAAAUAAUUUAA